Molecule: small nuclear RNA, 163 nt
Filed under: Strigamia maritima
Lineage: Eukaryota; Metazoa; Arthropoda; Chilopoda; Geophilomorpha; Linotaeniidae
Description: U1 spliceosomal RNA
Rfam family: U1 spliceosomal RNA
About the family: U1 is a small nuclear RNA (snRNA) component of the spliceosome (involved in pre-mRNA splicing).
Source: Rfam by way of RNAcentral
AAACUUACCUGGCGGGGGGUUUCUCGUGGUCAUGAUGACGGGAACCCUAUGGCGAGACGUGUCCAUUGCACUUUCGGACACGUUGACCUGUAUGGCAGCUUCAAGUAGAGGUUCGCCAACCGCUACAUUUUUGAGUGAGGGACUGCGUUCGCGCGGUCCUGCU